GGCUUGCCCCAUUCAUCCGGAUCAUGGCCGCGACUUAGAUGGAAAGCCCCGGAUAAUCCGCGGAUUGGUUCGAAUAGCCGCGGCUAUUAUUCAGUGGCCGCGGCUUGCUUCGGACUUAUUAGAGUGCCGAUCCUUUCUUGCCCCGUAGUUCUCGAGCUAGAGAUGUUCAGCUCUCAAGAGUUGUACUGAUGGAUUAAUCACGUCCUACUAAGUCAGCAGAGCCACUUUUUAGAGCAAAACAGAUUCUGUGACAUCAUAAUACGACACGUGACGUCACUUUUGAUCAUGUGAGUUGUCCUACCUUAACAUAAUACAUUCACAGUUAUAGUCCUUAUACUUUAUUCCCUCCCCCCUUAGGAUUGGAGUCAGUAUGGUAUUGAUGAAGGAGAGUCAUGGGAUGGCAUGGUUGAAGUACCGGAGACAGAAGAGCUAAUAUCAACGUCACAAAGAGCGACACUCUAAACCAACCAGAUGAUGUCCCAUGUGAUAACUUAAACCCGGAAAUCCUUAUUAAUCAGUACUCUUCUGCAAGGCAGUUCAUUAAUUAAGGCAGUUCAUUAAUUUUUGUUUAUAAGUUUUUAAUUUGUAUAGCUUAAUUGUCGAAGACAAUAAUAAUUUAAUUAUAAUAUCCACGUCGGGUGAUCAUGAUGAGCAUAUUUAACCCUUUUUUGCGAAUUUCUAAUUCUGCGAUACUUAGGAAGUAGCUCGAACUACGCACAUCCCUGUAUAGAGGAAGAGCUGUAGAAUCACAUGCAAUUUAGUCUAGAAAUUUCCAAGCCACGUUGCUAUGAAAAUUUCAUUAGUAGGUUGUUUACUUGUGCCGAUGUACUUGAACAGCUUGAGGACAGCGAUGGCUCUGGUGAUGACAGUGCCUAUGAAGAUAGUAGGAUACCGGCUACCAGCUUUAUGCCAGACGCUGAUGGAACUGAGGAUAUGCAUAACAUGGACCUAGACGCUAGCGCUAUGGACCAGGACGGUGAAAGACCAGAAGAGGGCGACUCUAGUCUAGUAUAGUAUAGCUAGAAUAUCAGUAGUGUAGUCUUUAUGUGAGCUUGUAAAUUUCAUAGAUCGUUCACCGAGCCCCACCUUCUCUCAACAGUAUCAGGGGGUGGACCGUCUGAUGGAAGUGGGCCAACAAUGACGGAGAUGAACUUCCUGAUGACAAAAGUGUGUCAUCGGGUGAUGGACUUCGUCAGACACCAUACUGCUCUUUGCAGUUCUAAAGAGAUACCUGUGGCUGAUGGUUAUACAAUGUAUACCAGUACACCUUACAGGGGCGUACACAGGGUGGUGCUUAGGGUGCUCCAGCACCCCAUCCAGCACCCCCAUCCAGACUCAGAGAAGCUCAAGUAGAUAGUUCAACCAUCAGUGGCUGGGCUACACUUAACUGCAGCUAUCUACAGCUUAAUAGUGAUAGUUACAAUAACUUUAUUGGGGCGAGCGAAGCGAGUCCCUUCCUAGUGUCUGUGUGUGUGUGUGUGUGUGUGUGUGUGUGUGUCAUGUGUGUGUGUGUGUCAACGAUAUUUGUUUUUUGUACUCGUGACCCUUUACCAAAUUUUACGUGAAAGCUGCGCAUGGGCGCAAGAGCUAGCUAGCACAGAUGAGGCCACAAGGCACGCGAUUUCGAUAAAGAUGGACAAAGAUGGACACUAAGAAACAAGAAAGAAGGAAGGAGCGAGAGCGACAGGCAAGAGCGCAGGAAACUGCUGAGCAGAAGGAAACAAGGCUUGCUAAGCGCAGAGAAAGAUGCAGAGAAAGAUACAGGGCACGUAGGUAGGACUGAAGAAACUACACAAGCUCGACAGGCACAAAUGGAUGCCAAUAGAUCAACGCAGCCAAUAGAUCAACGCAGCAACUCAGACGAAACACAGAAAGUUGUGAGGUCAGGCAUGCACGCCUACAACAAAAUGCUGCUUCCACCCAAAGCAGCAGAGCCUCCGAGACUCCUGAGGUCAGGCAGGCACGCCUACAACAAAAUGCUGCUUCCACCCCCAAAGUAGCAGAGCCUCCGAGACUCCUGAGGUCAGGCAGGCACGCCUACAACAAAAUGUGACAGGCUCUGGCAUUUGGAGCAGACUAAAAUUUCGUUGAUUAAUGUACCAAGUGAUAGAGCAGAGCAUUGCCUACACAAUGAUAUGCUUAUUGUUCACAUACCUAGUUUCAUACCUGAGUUAUGCGUGUUAAACUUUAAGCCGUAAAAUAUAGUAUCGAGAAAAAGCCUCUCAAAGAUUGCUCAAUUAGGAAAAGUAAGGUAAUAGCGAAAGGUACUUUGAUGGAAAGAGUUGGAUUUAGAGCAUCAGAUUUUACAGAGAGGUAGUAUAGGGACUUAUACAGCAAUAAAAUUUUAUUUGAGAUUUUACACUGUAGGCACAAAUUUAGCUAUAGCUCAAAACCAAAUUCUGCUCCAAAUGUCAGGUUUUCCUAGAGCCUGUCACAAAUUCUGCUUCCACCCAAAGCAGCAGAGCCUCCGGUAACUGAUACAACCAAAACGUUAGCUUGUUCAUAAUUAUUGUUCAUUACAGUAUUGUUCAUUACAGAGACUCCUGAGGUCAGGCAACAACAAAAUGCUGCUUCCACCCAAAGCAGCAGAGCCUCCGGUAACUGAUACAACCAAAACAACGGGCAUGUUGUCCGAUUUGAAUUCAAGUGUGGAAAAUGUGGAAAGCGACAGUGGUGGGCUAGCUCGCGAACACUCGGUGGACGAUACCUUGUCAAUCAAAAGAUCGUCCAUGGUUUUACUUGUGCUGGAGUUCUCCCAAGCCAGUCAUGCUGGCUUGGGAAAAGUUAGUUCAUGGUAUAUUUCGUCAAGUAAGUGUACAUGUGUGUUAUAACUGUCUCUUACAAAACACUGUGAGUACAAGAAAGGUGGAUACUUAGACGUCGUGAACGCUUGCGCCAAGGCAUCCAUGUUGAGAGCGAUUGACGAAGUGAAGGGUUACUCGCAGGACGGUGAGGUAAUUAAUUCUUAUGUGCUAGUUUUGUUUUUGUUUUUGUUUUUCAGUAAUGAAUAGUGGGUAAUAACAGAUGCUCGCCACGACUCAACAGCAAAUGCUUAUCACACGACUGUUCCCUGCCUCUCUGGAAGCACGAAAAGAAUUGUUGGGUGUUCGACUGUUUCCAGGAAAGAACACAUCUGUGCUCAGACUCGAGAAGUAGCGUGUACUAAGAUAGUUCUUCCGGAAGUCAUAGAUAAAGGCACUAAGAAGAAUAUGAAGAAAGGGACCAAAAGGCUCAAGGAAAGACAUGGUUAUCUGACAAACGUAAGCUUUGAUUAUAAAAGUGCUCAGUAACAGCUUUUCAAUAUUACAGAACGUUUUUUUAGAAACAUCCUGUGUUGUUCAAUUUAUACACUUUUUUUGCUGUGACACACCCAGUUCAGUUUAGAAAAAUCUAGACCAUAUAUGGAUCAAAACUCUUUGUAAUGUUUUUAACAUGACAUCAUGGUUUAACUAUGCUAAAUAUAGUAAAUAUAGGCCCUCUCCUGCACGUGGAACUCCAGAUCGAACGUUUUAGCGCUUACCCUCUCAGUAAUGGCGCGCUUAAAUGAAAGCCAUGCCCCCAAAUGAUGUCUUGCGUUUUCUGGAUAGGCUACGUGCAUGUUGAGAAAGGAUGGUGGCUCUUAGAAGAACCGGUUUGUUUGUAUCGUAGCCGAGAGAAGAAACUAUCAGCAUUGGGACUACAGGCAGCGCUGACAGUUGGUGGUGAGCUGCUAAUCCAGAGCUUCUGAAAACCUGUCUGGGUUGCCACUGUUUGCCGAAAGGGUCACUAAACCCUUGUAGCUCAGGCCAAGUUGAUCUGCCUGGGCUACAGCGAUGCUAGGCUUCCCAAGAGCUCUGAUGAGUGUGUCACACCGAAGAUGAGACUGCUCCACAGUUCCAGCUGUUUUUUGGCUGACCGACUGCUGGCCAGCAAAGGCCAUGUCAUGAAAGAAAAAAUUACCUUCAAGAGAGGUUCCAAUGGUGUGAAGAUAGAGAGCCUCGAUUCCUAGCUUAGUACUCCAUCCUUCUUCAUCUGUACAAUUGUAUUGUAUGUAGUGCACACCUGGCGUAAAAGAGGGAGAGUAUCGCUGAAGUGGACGUUAGCAGCACACAGGUGGACAGACUCUCCAGACGGCGCUCAACCUCAGCCAAAAGCAUUGGGAAGUCAAAGGAAAAUCCAUUGUGUGCCACGAGAACUCUGGUGGUAUGCGGCGGGAUGUUGCAACAAGGCUCGUGAAGGUCGGUGAGUCUACAGGGACAGGAGGAGACACGGCUACGUCAGUGAUAUGAUCAGAAGAGGAUUUGCGUUUUCACUGCUAACCCCUUCGUCAUUCUCCACCUGGUCAUCAAGUUCCGGUUUAACAAAAUAAGAGCCAGUCCGUGAAACCCGUUAACCUCCCACCCUCCCACGUUCGGAUACAUAAUCCUGGGGAUAUGCAGCCAUCUCGUCAAGUAGCUUCUUGAAGCCCUCCACCUGAGCUUGACAAGUGAACCUGUGCCUGCUCUUAUAUGGACUACCAUCCUCCAUCAGCUAAUAGGAAAUAUUCUUGUCGUGAGUGCACCAGGGAGAGGUAUGGAUGUCUAGGCAAGUAGUGAUGAUGGAAGUUGACCAGAGCCUCCGAAAAGCGGACGAAUGCCACCCUGGAUUUUAUCAGAAGCAAUCAGGUUGCUCAGUGCUGCCUUGCAACAGCUCAGGAAGGAGUCUGUCAUCCGCUUACACCUAAAGCCGGUUACUUAAAGUUUUGGCGCAUUGGUUCGAACAGUAUGUGAUUGUUCCUUCUGGGAAGUGACGGCAGUAGAUACUGUUCAUUGAAGAAUGCUUCAUUGAAGAAUGCUUAUCUGUGAUCACUUCUCGGAGGAUAAAGCCAGCAGCCUUGACCUUGCCCAGAAUCUCGUUGAACAUAUCAGCUUCAGCACCUCCUGACGUACCCUCCCAGUUGUGUCCUGGACCACGUUUCGUCCGGACCACUCUGCUACGUGAACUUCAAGUUUAGUAACUAUUCUGUGCCACUGAGUACUGCAACAGGAUGGGAGACCCAAAGAACCACACAAUCUAAGGAACAGCUGGAGUUGUGGAUGUGGAAAGUACCCACCGGUUGAAGAGACACACUCCCCGAAUGAUGCUCUCAGAGUCUAGAGAAUGCUGUGCUGCUUCAGAAAGACGUGAGCUAUUGGCUCAGGAAACUGGACGCUCUUGUUAUCGGUACUUACUUCCGCUGUCUGCACGCCGUGGCAGACAAGCUCAUGCUCUGUUUGCACCCCAACACUUGGCAUGCUGAACGUAUUGUUAUCAUCUAUGCAUUUACAUAAUUAUGAUUUUAUUUGUUUAUUGUUGUAUUUAUAUGGACUGUUACCUUCUGA
Halichondria panicea is the source of this 5339-nucleotide RNA transcript. RefSeq lists it as uncharacterized. The record is from RefSeq and is a predicted model, not a curated record. The transcript is spliced from 15 exons. NCBI's taxonomy places the organism in Eukaryota, Metazoa, Porifera, Demospongiae, Suberitida, Halichondriidae.